CCUACGGGAGGCUGCAGUGGGGGAUAUUGCACAAUGGGGGGAACCCUGAUGCAGCGACGCCGCGUGGGUGAAGAAGCGCCUCGGCGCGUAAAGCCCUGUCAGCAGGGAAGAAAAUGACGGUACCUGAAGAAGAAGCCCCGGCUAACUACGUGCCAGCAGGCGCGGUAAUACGAAGGGGGCAAGCGGUAUCCGGAUUUACUGGGUGGAAAGGGGGCGCAGACGGCGAUGCAAGCCAGGAGUGAAAGCCCGGGGCCCAACCCCGGGACUGCUCUUGGAACUGCGUGGCUGGAGUGCAGGAGGGGCAGGCGGAAUUCCUGGUGUAGCGGUGAAAUGCGUAGAUAUCAGGAGGAACACCGGUGGCGAAGGCGGCCUGCUGGACUGCAACUGACGUUGAGGCCCGAAAGCGUGGGGAGCAAACAGGAUUAGAUACCCUUGUAGUC
RNAcentral lists this ribosomal RNA (440 nucleotides) under uncultured bacterium. Its description in RNAcentral is "partial 16S ribosomal RNA". It matches the Rfam family "Bacterial small subunit ribosomal RNA", at positions 338 to 795 of the family's 1533-position model. The record is from RNAcentral.